Molecule: ribosomal RNA, 303 nt
Filed under: uncultured bacterium
Lineage: Bacteria
Description: partial 16S ribosomal RNA
Rfam family: Bacterial small subunit ribosomal RNA
Source: RNAcentral
AGCAGUCGCCGCGGUAAAACGAAGGGUGCAAGCGUUAAUCGGAAUUACUGGGCGUAAAGCGUGCGUAGGCGGUUUGUUAAGUCAGAUGUGAAAUCCCCGAGCUUAACUUGGGGACUGCAUUUGAAACUGGCAAGCUAGAGUCUUGUAGAGGGGGGUAGAAUUCCAGGUGUAGCGGUGAAAUGCGUAGAGAUCUGGAGGAAUACCGGUGGCGAAGGCGGCCCCCUGGACAAAGACUGACGCUCAGGUGCGAAAGCGUGGGGAGCAAACAGGAUUAGAUACCCGUGUAGUCCCUGUCUCUUAUAC